RNAcentral lists this ribosomal RNA (253 nucleotides) under uncultured bacterium. RNAcentral's name for it is "partial 16S ribosomal RNA". It matches the Rfam family "Bacterial small subunit ribosomal RNA", at positions 524 to 776 of the family's 1533-position model. The record is from RNAcentral.
UACGUAGGGUCCGAGCGUUGUCCGGAAUUACUGGGCGUAAAGAGCUCGUAGGUGGUUUGUCGCGUUGUUCGUGAAAACUCACAGCUCAACUGUGGGCGUGCGGGCGAUACGGGCAGACUAGAGUACUGCAGGGGAGACUGGAAUUCCUGGUGUAGCGGUGGAAUGCGCAGAUAUCAGGAGGAACACCGGUGGCGAAGGCGGAUCUCUGGGCCAUUACUGACGCUGAGGAGCGAAAGCGUGGGGAGCGAACAGG